UAAUUGGAGAGUUUGAUCCUGGCUCAGAAUGAACGCUGGCGGCGUGCUUAACACAUGCAAGUCGUACGAGAACUCUUUAGCUUGCUAAAGAUAGUAAAGUGGCGAACGGGUGAGUAACGCGUGGGCAAUCUACCUCCGAAUCGGGGAUAACCCGCCGAAAGGCGAGCUAAUACCGGAUAAUAUCUAUAGAACUUCGGUUUUAAAGAUCAAAGGUGGUCUCUACAUGUAAGCUACUGUUUGGAGAUGAGCCCGCGUACCAUUAGCUUGUUGGUAGGGUAAUGGCCUACCAAGGCUUCGAUGGUUAGCUGGUCUGAGAGGAUGAUCAGCCACA
Molecule: ribosomal RNA, 331 nt
Filed under: Deltaproteobacteria bacterium
Lineage: Bacteria; Pseudomonadati; Myxococcota; Myxococcia
Description: bacterial SSU rRNA
Rfam family: Bacterial small subunit ribosomal RNA
Source: RNAcentral